AGGAUGAACGCUAGCGACAGGCUUAACACAUGCAAGUCGAGGGGCAUCGACGGGAGUAGCAAUACAACUGGUGGCGACCGGCGCACGGGUGAGUAACGCGUAUGCAACCUACCUAUCAGAGGGGAAUAACCCGGCGAAAGUCGGACUAAUACCGCAUAAAACAGGGGCACCGCAUGGUGAUAUUUGUUAAAGAAAUUCGCUGAUAGAUGGGCAUGCGUUCCAUUAGGUAGUUGGUGAGGUAACGGCUCACCAAGCCGACGAUGGAUAGGGAACUGAGAGGUUGGUCCCCCACACUGGUACUGAGACACGGACCAGACUCCUACGGGAGGCAGCAGUGAGGAAUAUUGGUCAAUGGGCGGGAGCCUGAACCAGCCAAGUCGCGUGAAGGAAGAAGGAUCUAUGGUUCGUAAACUUCUUUUGCAGGGGAAUAAAGUGCAGGACGUGUCCUGUUUUGUAUGUACCCUGAGAAUAAGGAUCGGCUAACUCCGUGCCAGCCGCCGC
Molecule: ribosomal RNA, 501 nt
Filed under: uncultured bacterium
Lineage: Bacteria
Description: bacterial SSU rRNA
Rfam family: Bacterial small subunit ribosomal RNA
Source: RNAcentral